Molecule: RNA transcript, 531 nt
Organism: Zea mays
Lineage: Eukaryota; Viridiplantae; Streptophyta; Magnoliopsida; Poales; Poaceae
Gene name: ARF GTPase-activating domain family protein pseudogene
Exons: 4
Source: RefSeq, marked validated
GAUGUAUAUUUCUUUGUUAAGUAACCAAAAAGUACUCUUCAUUAACAGGGGCCACAAUAUGUAUGCACAAGCUUCUCUACUUUCAUCUGUACUAAUUGCAGCGGGAUACACCGAGAGUUCAGUCAUCGUGUAAAAUCAGUAUCAAUGGCUAAAUUCACUUCCCAAGAAGUUUCGGCACUUCAGGAAGGGGGCAAUGAGCGUGCUAAGGAAAUCUAUUUCAAGCAUUGGGACUUGCAAGGCCCUGUUAUUGACAGUAGUGAUGUACAUAGACUCAGAAAUUUCAUCAAGAAUGUAUAUGUUGAACGGAGAUAUUUAGAACAAAGAAUUAGCGAACAUUUAGCGCAAGCAAAGGUAGCUAUCUGAACUCAUGAUCACUGAUCACCGAUAGACAUCUAUGCAGUAAACUAGCAUCCACAAUCUCUUCACUGCCCAGAACUUUUUUUAACCCGUUAAACAUCUGAAAGAUCCAGGGUAAUCAGGACUCUUAUGGAAAUAGCAAUGCAGAUUCAUCUCCAGGAGUUUUAAGAAGUG